RNAcentral lists this ribosomal RNA (809 nucleotides) under uncultured Arthrobacter sp. RNAcentral's name for it is "bacterial SSU rRNA". It matches the Rfam family "Bacterial small subunit ribosomal RNA", at positions 66 to 878 of the family's 1533-position model. Lineage: Bacteria; Bacillati; Actinomycetota; Actinomycetes; Micrococcales; Micrococcaceae. The record is from RNAcentral.
ACGAUGAACCGCUUGCGGGGGAUUAGUGGCGAACGGGUGAGUAACACGUGAGUAACCUGCCCUUAACUCUGGGAUAAGCCUUGGAAACGGGGUCUAAUACUGGAUAUUGACUUUACCUCGCAUGGGGUUUUGUUGAAAGAUUUAUUGGUUUUGGAUGGACUCGCGGCCUAUCAGCUUGUUGGUGAGGUAAUGGCUCACCAAGGCGACGACGGGUAGCCGGCCUGAGAGGGUGACCGGCCACACUGGGACUGAGACACGGCCCAGACUCCUACGGGAGGCAGCAGUGGGGAAUAUUGCACAAUGGGCGAAAGCCUGAUGCAGCGACGCCGCGUGAGGGAUGACGGCCUUCGGGUUGUAAACCUCUUUCAGUAGGGAACAAGGCCAGCAUUUUUGUUGGUUGAGGGUACUUGCAGAAGAAGCGCCGGCUAACUACGUGCCAGCAGCCGCGGUAAUACGUAGGGCGCAAGCGUUAUCCGGAAUUAUUGGGCGUAAAGAGCUCGUAGGCGGUUUGUCGCGUCUGCCGUGAAAGUCCGGGGCUCAACUCCGGAUCUGCGGUGGGUACGGGCAGACUAGAGUGAUGUAGGGGAGACUGGAAUUCCUGGUGUAGCGGUGAAAUGCGCAGAUAUCAGGAGGAACACCGAUGGCGAAGGCAGGUCUCUGGGCAUUAACUGACGCUGAGGAGCGAAAGCAUGGGGAGCGAACAGGAUUAGAUACCCUGGUAGUCCAUGCCGUANACGUUGGGCACUAGGUGUGGGGGACNUUCCACGUUUUCCGCGCCGUAGCUAACGCAUUAAGUGCCCCGCCUGGGG